UGGGGAAUAUUGGACAAUGGGCGCAAGCCUGAUCCAGCCAUGCCGCGUGAGUGAUGAAGGCCCUAGGGUUGUAAAGCUCUUUCACUGGUGAAGAUAAUGACGGUAACCGGAGAAGAAGCCCCGGCUAACUUCGUGCCAGCAGCCGCGGUAAUACGAAGGGGGCUAGCGUUGUUCGGAUUUACUGGGCGUAAAGCGCACGUAGGCGGACUUUUAAGUCAGGGGUGAAAUCCCGGGGCUCAACCCCGGAACUGCCUUUGAUACUGGAAGUCUUGAGUAUGGUAGAGGUGAGUGGAAUUCCGAGUGUAGAGGUGAAAUUCGUAGAUAUUCGGAGGAACACCAGUGGCGAAGGCGGCUCACUGGCUCGAUACUGACGCUGAGGUGCGAUAGCGUGGGGAGCAAACAGG
Molecule: ribosomal RNA, 404 nt
Filed under: Verrucomicrobiota bacterium
Lineage: Bacteria; Pseudomonadati; Verrucomicrobiota
Description: Verrucomicrobia bacterium partial 16S ribosomal RNA
Rfam family: Bacterial small subunit ribosomal RNA
Source: RNAcentral